RNAcentral lists this ribosomal RNA (323 nucleotides) under uncultured eukaryote. RNAcentral describes it as "partial 18S ribosomal RNA". It matches the Rfam family "Eukaryotic small subunit ribosomal RNA", at positions 1470 to 1796 of the family's 1831-position model. The record is from RNAcentral.
CCCUUAGAUGUCCUGGGCCGCACGCGCGCUACACUGAUGCAUUCAACGAGUUUCCUUGACCGAGAGGUCUGGGUAAUCUUUUGAACGUGCAUCGUGAUAGGGAUAGAUUAUUGCAAUUAUUAAUCUUGAACGAGGAAUUCCUAGUAAACGCAGAUCAUCAAUCUGCAUUGAUUACGUCCCUGCCCUUUGUACACACCGCCCGUCGCACCUACCGAUUGAAUGGUCCGGUGAAGCCUCGGGAUUGUGGCGAGUUCCCUUUAUUGGGAGUUUGUCGCGAGAACUUGUCUAAACCUUAUCAUUUAGAGGAAGGUGAAGUCGUAACA